RNAcentral lists this ribosomal RNA (243 nucleotides) under uncultured Rhodocyclales bacterium. Its description in RNAcentral is "partial 16S ribosomal RNA". It matches the Rfam family "Bacterial small subunit ribosomal RNA", at positions 92 to 334 of the family's 1533-position model. Lineage: Bacteria; Pseudomonadati; Pseudomonadota; Betaproteobacteria; Rhodocyclales. The record is from RNAcentral.
CGAGUGGCGAACGGGUGAGUAAUACAUCGGAACGUGUCGAGAAGAGGGGGAUAACCACCCGAAAGGGUGGCUAAUACCGCAUAAAUUCUGAGGAAGAAAGCUGGGGACCUGGGAAUAGGCCUAGCGCUUUUUGAGCGGCCGAUGUCGGAUUAGCUAGUUGGUGAGGUAAAGGCUCACCAAGGCGAAGAUCUGUAGCGGGUCUGAGAGGAUGAUCCGCCACACUGGGACUGAGACACGGCCCAG